GUUGAGAAACGCGUAAGACGUUCCCAAACCUCAUCUCGUCGUUCCAAAACAGGGUCACCAUAAACAAACGUCAUGAAAACUUUUAUUCCAUCAAUGAUUGCCUCAAUGUCAAUCAUUCUGUUAUUCGAAAAUAAAACAUUAACUCGAAAAUCAUCCAUAAAAAAUAAAGCUAAACCUCCGCUAAGGCCAAGUGGCUCAACGGUAAAUAAAUGAUCAAAUCCUAAAUCGGCCUGAAUGUUUUGCAGCAGCGGCCUCCUAUUCUUCGUCUCAGAAAGAAACACAAGUCCUGGGCGAUGCUUCUCACAC
This 306-nucleotide long non-coding RNA is filed under the name Brassica napus (rape). RNAcentral's name for it is "long non-coding RNA (BNAP_LNC017917)". Lineage: Eukaryota; Viridiplantae; Streptophyta; Magnoliopsida; Brassicales; Brassicaceae. The record is from RNAcentral.